UUAUAUUGGAUUAGGCCACCUAAUCCUCCUUAGAGGAGGAUUCAUGCACCCCGGAGAAGAGGACCGCAUGCCCCUAUUUAAUUAGGGCUUGGCGUGGUGCUCCUCCUAAUUUUUAGGGGACACCAUGCCUGUAGCAAGAAAAAGGAAAGGGAGGCCGGCGGCCUCCCUCUCUCUUCUCCCCUCUCUCUUUUGGUGUGGCAGCCCUCCUCUCUCCCCUCUCUGGUUCUUCCGCAAGAAAAGAGAAAGAAGAAGGGGCGGCCUCUUUCUCUACCUCUCUCUUUCCUCUUCCUCUUCCUCUUCCUCUUGAGAACAAUCAAAGAGUUGAUUGCAAAAGAGAGAGAGCUUCAAUCAUCCAAAGUGAUCUUUGCAAGGGAGCUAGCACCCCGAUGACAUCUAGGCGCUUGGAUUGGUUUCUUCCUCAUGUGGAUAUCCAUAAAGGCCGAAUACGUGUGCGGUUUCAAGCGAACCUUUCAAGUUUAUCACGAUCAUCAAAUUGCGGUAAAAAUCUACCUGCGCAAGGUGAAGAUAUGAUCUUUCUCUUUUGUUUUAAUCUUAAUCUAUCUACGAACGAUUUUAUUUAUUAAUGAGAUGAACAAUCGUGCAUGCAUCUUCCGCUGCGGUUUUUUUGCAGCAUGCAUGGUUUUCUAACAUCAUUCCUAUUCCAAUUCUUGCUCACGCCGUGAACCAAAUGUACCCUAAGUUCAAUGUUUAAAAAAUGUGUUGUCGAACUUAAGCUGUUCGAUGUUUAAAAAAUGUGUUUGGUGAACACGAGCUGAAUUGAUGUGGUAAGUUUUUGCCUCUCGUAGCUGUACUUUAACCAAGUGCAUGUAAGAAGCUGCCGCAUCAAAGUGAUGGUGGAAGUUUGCCGAUGGAACAAGCUGUAAGUUGGCUUGUUCAUCAGAUGCAGUAUUUAAAAUCAUUAAUUUCCUGGAAAAGGAGUAGAGAAGACAUGGUGAUGUAAACUGCUAAUUCGAGUCGCAUUUUUUUCCCUUCUAGGGGAUGCUAUUUAUUGUAUCUUUAGAAUUUUAUAGUGACAUAAAACGCUAUGCAAAUUCAAAAUUUCCCACAAAACAUUUAUGCAUUUGUAUAAUUUCAAGCGUCUUAUUUCGUAAGAUCAAAGGAUGCAUCUCAUGCAUCUUCUGCAUGUCAGCUUCUUUCUUGAUUCAUUAGAAUACAGCAUGCAAUCUAUUGCUGGAGCAUCUUUUUAUGGCUCAUUGGGUCAUAAAAAAUUCCUAUAUAUAGAUCAGUGGGGUGCGGUAGAUGUAACUUAGGAGCUGGUUUCAUAGUAACUCACGAUGCAUUCAUCAUCUUGAAAAAUCGCCAUAGAAUCCUCUAAGCUUGAUGGUAACAUGUUGAAUCUUGACACCUUAGUUGGAUCGCAUUUAGCAAUCUGAAAAAUCUAUGCCAGUUCUUGCCUCGUAGAAUCAAUAUAACACUGUUAAUAAUGAAUCUUCAAAAAUUAUUCAUUGGAUUCCUCCUCUUCGAUCCAUCAUCGGGACCUUUUUUUUUUUUUGAGGGGUCACGCCUUGUUUCUAUACUGAAUAAUAUCAGGUGCUCAAUUAUGUAUCACGUGUAAUACUCGUAUAUAGUCCUUGUAAGAGGCAAAAUCCACUCCAGUCCAAAAACACGACGGCUGUAAAAUGUACCUCUUCCGGAUAACCGGACUCUUGCCCUUGUUUCAGAAGUCUUAAUGGUCCUGUACGUUUAGCCGACAGACAUGUGGUUGGUCACCUGCUGCUUUCGUUGCCAGUGCGAGAACCAGCCGGUAGAGUUGGACGGAACCCGGUUCGGCUCCCGAGCAGGCUGGGCGAUCCGCGGUCAAUGCCCAGAAAAGGGGUACAUUUGCCGAGAAGAGGGCAGACUCACAGGGUGCAAUUAAGCUAGGCCGAAUCACAUAGGUAAAGCCUCGCACCCAACAUAAUUCGAAGUGCUUGGACUUAAAUUUUGACUCAAAAUCGAUUAAAAUUUAAUAUUCAAAUUCAAACUUGAUUCGAUAAAAAAAGUUAUAUUCAAGAUCAAACCGACUCGAAUAUCAACCGAGCCAUACUUGAAACACCUCUAUUAAAACAGUUUCUCAAUUUUUUUACCAAAAACCUUUAUUCUAUCAAAUGGGGCCUUAAUCGUACAUAGAUGGACAACAGAGGACCAAAGAGAAUUAGCGCUAAGGUCUCUCCCUGAUCAACUAUUUGAGGUAAAUUUUAGUCCUUUAUUUCUUUAAUUUAGUUAUUGUGAUUGAGCUAUAGAAAUUCUAAGGUUAAGGUUGAAAAUCGGAUUCUGAGAGUCUAGAGAAAUUAGUGAUUUAAUGUAGUGAUGAAGUUGAUUUCUUGAUUUUAUUAUUCUCAAGUACAUUAGUAGGCCUAAUAGAGCAAGUUGACAUAUUCGGUUAAUUAUGAUACAGGUAGAGAUGAGGAUCCUAUAUACAAUCAUCUGUAUAAUUAUGAAUAUUUUAUAUAUACAUUUAUAUCAUAUUCUGAGGAGUAUGAUGUACCCUAGAUUUUGAUAUCAUAGGAUAUUGAAUUAUAUUUAAUUAUAGUACAUGUCAUAAAUAAAGAAAUUGGAUAGUUGAAAAAUUAGAAAUUAGGCCAGGUAUUUGGACUAAGCUGUGAUAAGUGGUUUGCUGGUUAUGGGCAGAAGCAUAACACCCUAAUUAUGGUUGCCAACUAUAUGUUGAAGCUUGGUAUGCGUUGGUAAUGUUGAAGUGCCACACUUUGGUUGCAAGCUAUAACCUAAAAUAUGGCACGAGUGAUGUGAGGUUUGCUGCCAUUUGCUAGAGCAUGAUCGUUGCCGGACCAAAUGCUAGAAAUCCAGUCUAUGUUAAUAAUAUUAAAUUGAGUUUGAUUAUAGUAAUAUGUUAUGAAUAAAUAAUUUAUAAAGAAAAUCAAAUUUUUUGCAUAAUUGUAAAAUUGGAAAAAGUAGUAAUGGACUAGCUGCGAUGAGUUCUACCAGUGACAGGCUAAAGCAUGGCACUUUGGUUGCCGACUG
Molecule: long non-coding RNA, 2982 nt
Filed under: Phoenix dactylifera (date palm)
Lineage: Eukaryota; Viridiplantae; Streptophyta; Magnoliopsida; Arecales; Arecaceae
Description: long non-coding RNA (PDAC_LNC012351)
Source: RNAcentral